Clupea harengus (Atlantic herring) is the source of this 3539-nucleotide long non-coding RNA. Lineage: Eukaryota; Metazoa; Chordata; Actinopteri; Clupeiformes; Clupeidae. The record is from Ensembl.
AUCAUGUAUCUAACCAUUAAACAUCUUAUUAUCAUGUAUCUAAACAUUAAACAUCUAUCAUCAUGUAUCUACAUGUAUCUAAACAUGAAACAUCUUAUCAUCAUGUAUAUGAACAUGAAACAUCUUAUCAUGAAACAUCUUAUCAUGUAUCUAAACAUUAAACAUCUUAUCAUCAUGUAUCUAAACAUGAAUCAUCUUAUCAUCAUAUACUACAUGUAUCUAAAAAUGAAACAUCUAAUCAUCAUAUACUACAUGUAUCUAAACAUGAAUCAUCUUAUCAUACACUACAUGUAUCUAAACAUGAAACAUCUUAUCAUAUACUACAUGUAUCUAAACAUGAAACAUCUUAUAAUAUACUACAUGUAUCUAAACAUGAAACAUCUUAUCAUCAUAUACUACAUGUAUCUAAACAUGAAACAUCUUAUCAUCAUGUAUCUAAACAUUAAACAUCUUAUCAUCAUGUAUCUAAACAUGAAUCAUCUUAUCAUCAUAUACUACAUGUAUCUAAAAAUGAAACAUCUAAUCAUAUACUACAUGUAUCUAAACAUGAAACAUCUUAUCAUAUACUACUUCUUAUCAUCAUGUAUCUAACCAUUAAACAUCUUAUUAUCAUGUAUCUAAACAUUAAACAUCUAUCAUCAUGUAUCUACAUGUAUCUAAACAUGAAACAUCUUAUCAUCAUGUAUAUGAACAUGAAACAUCUUAUCAUGAAACAUCUUAUCAUGUAUCUAAACAUCUUAUCAUCAUGUACUAUCAUGUACAUUAAACAUCUUAUCAUCAUGUACAUCUAAACAUGAAUCAUCUUAUCAUCAUAUACUACAUGUAUCUAAAAAUGAAACAUCUAAUCAUCACAUACUACAUGUAUCUAAACAUGAAUCAUCUUAUCAUCAUACACUACAUGUAUCUAAACAUGAAACAUCUUAUCAUAUACUACAUGUAUCUAAACAUGAAACAUCUUAUAAUAUACUACAUGUAUCUAAACAUGAAACAUCUUAUCAUAUACUACAUGUACCUAAACAUGAAACAUCUUAUCAUCAUAUACUACAUGUAUCUAAAAAUGAAACAUCUAAUCAUCAUAUACUACAUGUAUCUAAACAUGAAUCAUCUUAUCAUCAUACACUACAUGUAUCUAAACAUGAAACAUCUAAUCAUCAUAUACUACAUGUAUCUAAACAUGAAUCAUCUUAUCAUACACUACAUGUAUCUAAACAUGAAACAUCUUAUAAUAUACUACAUGUAUCUAAACAUGAAACAGCUUAUCAUAUACUACAUAUAUCUAAACAUGAAACAUCUUAUCAUCAUAUACUACAUGUAUCUAAACAUCAAACAUCUUAUCAUCAUGUAUCUAAACAUUAAACAUCUUAUCAUCAUGUAUCUAAACAUGAAUCAUCUUAUCAUAUACUACAUGUAUCUAAACAUGAAACAUCUUAUCAUAUACUACAUGUAUCUAAACAUGAAACAUCUUAUCAUAUACUACAUGUAUCUAAACAUGAAACAUCUUAUCAUCUCAUACUACUACAUGUAUCUAAACAUGAAACAUCUUAUCAUCAUAUACUACAUGUAUCUAAAAAUGAAACAUCUAAUCAUCAUAUACUACAUGUAUCUAAACAUGAAUCAUCUUAUUAUCAUAUACUACAUGUAUCUAAACAUGAAACAUCUUAUCAUAUACUACAUGUAUCUAAACAUGAAACAUCUUAUCAUCAUGUAUCUAAACAUGAAACAUCUUAUCAUCAUGUAUCUAAACAUGAAACAUCUUAUCAUGAAACAACUUAUCAUCAUGUAUCUAAACAUUAAACAUCUUAUCAUCAUUUACUACAUGUAUCUAAACAUGAAACAUCUUAUCAUAUACUACAUGUAUCUAAACAUGAAACAUCUUAUCAUCAUAUACUACAUGUAUCUAAACAUGAAACAUCUUAUCAUCAUGUAUAUAAACAUGAAACAUCUUAUCAUCAUGUAUCUAAACAUGAAACAUCUUAUCAUGAAACAUCUUAUCAUCAUGUAUCUAAACAUUAAACAUCUUAUCAUCAUAUCAUGUAUCUAAACAUGAAACAUCUUAUCAUAUACUACAUCUUAUCAUCAUGUAUCUAACCAUUAAACAUCUUAUUAUCAUGUAUCUAAACAUUAAACAUCUAUCAUCAUGUAUCUACAUGUAUCUAAACAUGAAACAUCUUAUCAUCAUGUAUAUGAACAUGAAACAUCUUAUCAUGAAACAUCUUAUCAUGUAUCUAAACAUUAAACAUCUUAUCAUCAUGUAUCUAAACAUGAAUCAUCUUAUCAUCAUAUACUACAUGUAUCUAAAAAUGAAACAUCUAAUCAUCAUGUUUACUAAACAUUAUGUUACUACUACAUGUAUCUAAACAUUAAACAUCUUAUCAUCAUGUAUCUAAACAUUAAACAUCUUAUCAUCAUCAUAUCUAAACAUGAAUCAUCUUAUCAUACACUACAUGUAUCUAAACAUGAAACAUCUUAUAAUAUACUACAUGUAUCUAAACAUGAAACAGCUUAUCAUAUACUACAUGUAUCUAAACAUGAAACAUCUUAUCAUCAUAUACUACAUGUAUCUAAACAUUAAACAUCUUAUCAUCAUGUAUCUAAACAUUAAACAUCUUAUCAUCAUGUAUCUAAACAUUAAUCAUCUUAUCAUCAUAUACUACCUGUAUCUAAAAAUGAAACAUCUAAUCAUCAUAUACUACAUGUAUCUAAACAUGAAUCAUUUUAUCAUCAUAUACUACAUGUAUCUAAACAUGAAACAUCUUAUCAUAUACUACAUGUAUCUAAACAUGAAACAUCUUAUCAUCAUGUAUCUAAACAUGAAACAUCUUAUCAUGAAACAACUUAUCAUCAUGUAUCUAAACAUUAAACAUCUAAUCAUCAUAUACUACAUGUAUCUAAACAUGAAACAUCUUAUCAUCAUAUACUACUUGUAUCUAAACAUUAAACAUCUUAUCAUCAUGUAUCUAAACAUGAAACAUCUUAUCAUCAUAUACUAAAUGUAUCUAAACAUGAAACAUCUUAUCAUAUACUACAUGUACCUAAACAUGAAACAUCUUAUCAUAUACUACAUGUACCUAAACAUGAAACAUCUUAUCAUAUACUACAUGUAUCUAAACAUGAAACAUCUUAUAAUAUACUACAUGUAUCUAAACAUGAAACAUCUUAUCAUCAUAUACUACAUGUAUCUAAACAUGAAACAUCUUAUCAUCAUAUACUACAUGUAUCUAAACAUGAAACAUCUUAUCAUAUACUACAUGUACCUAAACAUGAAACAUCUUAUCAUAUACUACAUGUAUCUAAACAUGAAACAUCUUAUAAUAUACUACAUGUAUCUAAACAUGAAACAUCUUAUCAUCAUAUACUACAUGUAUCUAAACAUGAAACAUCUUAUCAUCAUGUAUCUAAACAUGAAACAUCUUAUCAUCAUAUACUACAUGUAUCUAAACAUUAAACAUCUUAUCAUCAUGUAUCUAAACAUUAAACAUCUUAUCAUCAUGUAUCUAAACAUGAAUCAUCUUAUCAUCAUAUACUACAUGUAUCUAAAA